GGUAACGCGGUGCCAGUGGCCGCGGGAAUCCAGAGGGUGGGAGCGUGUGGCGGAAGCACUGGGCGGAAAGGUGGCGGAGGCGGCCUGGCAAGUCGGUGGUGAAAGCUCAGGGCUCAACGCGUAGUCGGCCAUAGAUACUGCGAGGCUCGAGUCGACUAGAGGCAGAUGGAAUUCCGGGUGUAGCGGUGGAAUGCGUAGAGAUCCGGAAGAACACCGGUGGCGAAGGCGGUCUGCUGGGGUCGAACUGACGCUGAUGCGCGACAGCGUGGGGAGCAAACAGGAUUAGAUACCCGAGUAGUC
Molecule: ribosomal RNA, 300 nt
Filed under: uncultured Helicobacter sp.
Lineage: Bacteria; Pseudomonadati; Campylobacterota; Epsilonproteobacteria; Campylobacterales; Helicobacteraceae
Description: bacterial SSU rRNA
Rfam family: Bacterial small subunit ribosomal RNA
Source: RNAcentral